RNAcentral lists this ribosomal RNA (460 nucleotides) under uncultured bacterium. Its description in RNAcentral is "partial 16S ribosomal RNA". It matches the Rfam family "Bacterial small subunit ribosomal RNA", at positions 338 to 795 of the family's 1533-position model. The record is from RNAcentral.
CCUACGGGAGGCAGCAGUGAGUAAUAUUGGUCAAUGGACGAGAGUCUGAACCAGCCAAGUAGCGUGAAGGAUGACUGCCCUAUGGGUUGUAAACUUCUUUUAUCUGGGAAUAAAAUGUUCCAAGUGUGGGAUUUUGUAUGUACCAUAUGAAUAAGGAUCGGCUAACUCGGUGCCAGAAGCCGCGGUACACCGGAGGAUCAGCGGGUUAUCCGGAUUGUUGGGGUUUAAAGGGAGCGUAGGUGGAUUGUUAAGUAAGUUGUGAAAGUUUGCGGCUCAACCGUAAAAUUGCGGUUGAAACUGGCAGUCUUGAGUACAGUAGAGGUGGGCGGAAUUCGUGGUGUAGCGGUGAAAUGCUUAGAUAUCACGAAGAACUCCGAUUGCGAAGGCAGCUCACUGGACUGCAACUGACACUGAGGCUCGAAAGUGUGGGUAUCAAACAGGAUUAGAUACCCGAGUAGUC